UACUGUGAAAUCCUGGUAGGAGUUCUGAGCAAUUCUGGGACUCCUGAGAUCCAGACCCUACAGGUUUUUGUGACACUCUCGGAGAUAAGUGUUUGCUUUCUGCCGAUUACUGCCUCCAGGGGCACUAUGCAGCUGGUGGCCACAGGAAGUCCCCACUCCUGGCUACUGCCAGUGGCAGAGUUCCCACCUCUAUAAACGUACUGAGCACCCCACUGGCCAACUCCAAGCAGAUAACAAGAAGGGUCUGAGGAAAACUGAGCAACAGAGGCUGCCAAGUUUGUCUAUACAACAUUGGAUGUCUGUUUUAUGCAUGAUUUACCUGGCUGUAUGGAGCUCCUGCUCCCUCGCCAGUGCUGCCAACUCCCAGGUUGGACAGUGGCAGAGCUUCACAUCUAUUCAGCCCAUUACCGCCCCAAGCCAAAGAUUACAAGUAAACAAAGGAAGCAAAACACAGAAAUAUGUUCUUUGAGCCAGACACUGGGACAGCACAUACACUUGUCAUCCCUCCAUGAAGCAUUGGCUAUUAAAGAUGUAAUAUUUCCACUAUAUCUCAAUUGCAGUGUAACAAGACCAGCUCUGAGUGAGUGCAUGCAGCCAACCUUCUGCAAAGGUUUUCAAUAUACUUCAAAAUAUCCUAUUAUUUACCCAUUGUGGGAAAGUGUUCUUUAGUUGGUAGUACAAAGCAAUCACAGUGGUUUUGGAGACUUUAAAGAUUUCCUAAGGAGGCAUCAGUGUCUGUAAGAUGCCCUUGGGGCUUCUGUUUUGCACUGUGAUUGUGCAGUGUUUUAUUUCCAUUAUAAGAUGCAUACAAAGGGAAAGGAAGGAAGCAAUCUUCUACAGCUGGAAACCAAAUUACAGGACUCUCUUAUAAUAAGGAGAGAUUUUCCCCAAAGUGGCACAGUGGGACAUUAAGUCUUUCAUUUUGAUCUUACCUAAAUGAACAAGAAAAAAUUCCAUUGAAUUCUGUGGCAUGCGAUCAAACUCCAAAUGAGCUACUUAAAAUGUUACAUAGGUGAGCUAUGAGUGUGGUUUUCUACAUGUUCGUUAAGAGUCUUUUUAAUAUUAUUUACAAUAUGAGGUGUUAUCUAGUUCUGCGAUUAUAGCUGGGUGGUGAUAAGCCAGUGGUAAUCUCUGUAAUUCUGCUGAUACACUUACUCAGAUAAGCUUUAUAUUAACAAGGUUUCACAAAUAAAGUUUUGUUAUCUUUAUUGUU
Long non-coding RNA from Gallus gallus (chicken), 1213 nucleotides. RefSeq lists it as uncharacterized. The record is from RefSeq and is a predicted model, not a curated record. NCBI's taxonomy places the organism in Eukaryota, Metazoa, Chordata, Aves, Galliformes, Phasianidae. The transcript has 4 exons.